GAACUGUGAGUAGAGGAGGAAACCAACACUAAAACAGGAUGGGGAAUAAGAACAGUCAUUCAGAUCACCACUCAAGGGCGCCGAGAAACGCGGACGAGGCGGGGGAGGAUGGCGAAAGGAGUAUGUCCUUGAAAGACCGCUUGAGGGCUGCAAGUGACUCAGCAGCGGCGUCAGGACAGAGUAAUGCAUCAAAGAAGAAAGCCAAAGGAAAAAAGGGCAAAGAAAAGAGAAAAGCAAUCAACUACAAGUUCUAGCAAAUUUUUUGGUUUUUCAAGACUUACCAUAUUUUUUAGUAAUGUUGACCAAAAAUUUGGACCUUCACAGUACAAAGUCUAUAGGUUUACCGUUUAAAAUCCAAAGGUUUGAAAGCUAUGAAUUUUAGUUCACGACAGGAUUAUAUUAGUUUUUUUUAUAUUCGGAUUCACAGAAUAAUGCUUGCCAAAGUACACACAAGAUACCAGCUGUUGUAGUUGGUGUUUUGUUUUAACAAAAAAAUUAAAAUGUUGGAAUUCUUGAUGCUAUAGUGAUGAACAGGUUCCAUGUGAACAUACAUUGUUCCUGAAUUGUGUAUUCUUAAAUUUAAGGUGCGUGGUUAUGUCAUGACGUUGGAUGUGCUGUGAUAAUGUGUUUUAACGGUAACUUUGGUAUGAUAUUGAGUGAGAGUUAUGUAUCUGUUGUCGUGAGAAGCAGUAAGAGGGGCUUAUUAUUAGAAUUUAAGUGGAAUUUUACUUUUAAGUGGAAUUUUAUUUGUAAUGUCAUGUUUAUCUUAACCCGUGUGGUUGUGUCUUUAGUUUAAUACGUAACAAAGGAAAUCUAUUGGGCCAAAAGGAACAAAUGAUACAAAUGUAUGGCUUCAAGAUUAUUUUAGACAAACUUGUACAGAUGAAGGGAAAUAAUAAAGAUA
Long non-coding RNA from Branchiostoma belcheri (Belcher's lancelet), 904 nucleotides. RefSeq lists it as uncharacterized. The record is from RefSeq and is a predicted model, not a curated record. Lineage: Eukaryota; Metazoa; Chordata; Leptocardii; Amphioxiformes; Branchiostomatidae. The transcript has 3 exons.